UGGGGAAUAUUGCACAAUGGGGGAAACCCUGAUGCAGCGACGCCGCGUGAAGGAAGAAGUAUCUCGGUAUGUAAACUUCUAUCAGCAGGGAAGAAAAUGACGGUACCUGACUAAGAAGCCCCGGCUAACUACGUGCCAGCAGCCGCGGUAAUACGUAGGGGGCAAGCGUUAUCCGGAUUUACUGGGUGUAAAGGGCGCGUAGACGGAAGAGCAAGUCUGAUGUGAAAGGCUGGGGCUUAACCCCAGGACUGCAUUGGAAACUGUUGUUCUAGAGUGCCGGAGAGGUAAGCGGAAUUCCUAGUGUAGCGGUGAAAUGCGUAGAUAUUAGGAGGAACACCAGUGGCGAAGGCGGCUUACUGGACGGUAACUGACGUUGAGGCUCGAAAGCGUGGGGAGCAAACA
Molecule: ribosomal RNA, 402 nt
Filed under: uncultured prokaryote
Description: bacterial SSU rRNA
Rfam family: Bacterial small subunit ribosomal RNA
Source: RNAcentral